AAUCAACGCUGGCGGCGUGCCUCAGACAUGCAAGUCGAACGCGAAAUUUCCCUUCGGGGAGAAAGUAGAGUGGCGCACGGGUGAGUAACACGUAGGUAAUUUGCCUUUGGGUAGGGGAAUAACUCAGGGAAACUUGAGCUAAUACCGCAUAAUGCAGCGGCUCGACAUCGAGACAGUUGUUAAAGCGGGGGAUCGCAAGACCUCGCGCCUAAAGAGAAGCCUGCGGCAGAUUAGCUAGUUGGUAAGGUAAUGGCUUACCAAGGCGACGAUCUGUAACCGGCCUGAGAGGGCGGUCGGUCACACUGACACUGACAUACGGGUCAGACUCCUACGGGAGGCAGCAGUCGGGAAUUUUGGGCAAUGGGCGAAAGCCUGACCCAGCAACGCCGCGU
RNAcentral lists this ribosomal RNA (392 nucleotides) under uncultured bacterium. RNAcentral's name for it is "bacterial SSU rRNA". It matches the Rfam family "Bacterial small subunit ribosomal RNA", at positions 32 to 402 of the family's 1533-position model. The record is from RNAcentral.